GACGAACGCUGGCGGCGUGCCUAAUACAUGCAAGUUGAGCGCUGAAGGUUGGUACUUGUACCAACUGGAUGAGCAGCGAACGGGUGAGUAACGCGUGGGGAAUCUGCCUUUGAGCGGGGGACAACAUUUGGAAACGAAUGCUAAUACCGCAUAAAAACUUUAAACACAAGUUUUAAGUUUGAAAGAUGCAAUUGCAUCACUCAAAGAUGAUCCCGCGUUGUAUUAGCUAGUUGGUGAGGUAAAGGCUCACCAAGGCGAUGAUACAUAGCCGACCUGAGAGGGUGAUCGGCAAAAUUGAGACUGAGACACGGCCCAAACUCCUACGGGAGGCAGCAGUAGGGAAUCUUCGGCAAUGGACGAAAGUCUGACCGAGCAACGCCGCGUGAGUGAAGAAGGUUUUCGGAUCGUAAAACUCGGUUGGUAGAGAAGAACGUUGGUGAGAGUGGAAAGCUCAUCAAGUGACGGUAACUACCCAGAAAGGGACGGCUAACUACGUG
RNAcentral lists this ribosomal RNA (497 nucleotides) under uncultured bacterium. Its description in RNAcentral is "partial 16S ribosomal RNA". It matches the Rfam family "Bacterial small subunit ribosomal RNA", at positions 28 to 507 of the family's 1533-position model. The record is from RNAcentral.